Varanus komodoensis (Komodo dragon) is the source of this 113-nucleotide small nucleolar RNA. Ensembl annotates it as small nucleolar RNA, C/D box 7. NCBI's taxonomy places the organism in Eukaryota, Metazoa, Chordata, Lepidosauria, Squamata, Varanidae. The record is from Ensembl.
AGGCGAUGAUGAGUCAAGUCUAGUCUGACCUGGUAUUGCUGCAACGUCCUGGCUCUGACCAGGACGUUUUGGCUCUGACCAGGACGUGAUCACGUAAUCUUCUCUCUGAGCAG